AUACGGAGGGUGCAAGCGUUGCUCGGAAUCACUGGGCGUAAAGCGGACGCAGGCGGUCCAGCAAGUCGGGUGUGAAAGCCCGGGGCUCAACCCCGGAAAUGCAUUCGAAACUGCUGGACUUGAGUACGGGAGAGGGGAGCGGAAUUCCUGGUGUAGAGGUGAAAUUCGUAGAUAUUCGGAAGAACACCAGUGGCGAAGGCGACUUACUGGACCAUUACUGACGCUGAGGCUCGAAAGCGUGGGGAGC
RNAcentral lists this ribosomal RNA (247 nucleotides) under uncultured bacterium. RNAcentral's name for it is "partial 16S ribosomal RNA". It matches the Rfam family "Bacterial small subunit ribosomal RNA", at positions 523 to 769 of the family's 1533-position model. The record is from RNAcentral.